RNAcentral lists this long non-coding RNA (695 nucleotides) under Homo sapiens (human). RNAcentral describes it as "non-protein coding lnc-GOLGA8A-5:1". The record is from RNAcentral. Lineage: Eukaryota; Metazoa; Chordata; Mammalia; Primates; Hominidae.
AGGCACUGCCUGGCAAGGCUGCUGGAGGGAGAUCUGGCCGCAGAUGGUGAAGGAGAACAUCGAGGCCCCCAGUCCCCAAGCAGGGCUCCAUGGGUCGGGCGGCGGGCAUUGGCUCGUGGUUACCCGAUGGAGGAAAACUUCUGGGAGAAUCGGCUGGUGAGAUGCCUGACACCGCUCUCCUGGCGUCUGACAUCAAGGAUAUCUUAAUUUUCUUAGUUUUUAAAAAUUAUGGUAAAUACACAAAAGAUGAAAUUUACCAUCUGAAAUACUUCUACGUGUAUGAUUCUGUGGCAUUAAAUACACUCAGAGUGUUGUGCAACCAUCACCACCAUCCAUCUCCAGAACUUUCUUCAUCUUGCAAUCUGAAACUCUGUGUCCACUAACUCCCCUUUCCGCCUCCCCCAGCCCCUGGCAGCCACCAUUCUACUUUCUGUCUCUGAAUUUGACGACUCCAGGUGCCACAUGUGAGUGAAAUCAUACAAUCAUUUGUCUUUUUCCAACUGGCUUCUUUGACUUAGCGUGACGUUCUCAAGGCCCACCUGUGUUGUAGCGUGCGUCAGAACUUCCUUCCUUCUUAGGGCUAACUACUGUCCCCAUUGUAUGGGUAGGCCACACUUUGUUUGCCGUUCAUCCCUCAGACAUCAAGAAUAUCUCACAUAGUAGAAAGAGUCAAAGAAUCCAAUGAGGGCUUCAUC